CCUACGGGGGGCAGCAGUGAGGAAUAUUGGUCAAUGGACGAGAGUCUGAACCAGCCACGUAGCGUGAAGGAUGACUGCCCUAUGGGUUGUAAACUUCUUUUAUAUGGGAAUAAAAUGUUCCACGUGUGGGAUUUUGUAUGUACCAUAUGAAUACGGAUCGGCUCACUCCGUGCCACCAGCCGCGGUAAUACGGAGGAUCCUGGCGUUAUCCGGAUUUAUUGGGUUUAAAGGUACCGUAGGUGGAUUGUUAAGUCAGUUGUGAAAGUUUUCGGCUCAACCGUAAAAUUGCAGUUGAAACUGGCAGUCUUGAGUACAGUAGAGGUGGGCGGAAUUCGUGGUGUAGCGGUGAAAUGCUUAGAUAUCACGAAGAACUCCGAUUGCGAAGGCAGUUCACUGGACUGCAACUGACACUGAGGCUCGAAAGUGUGGGUAUCAAACAGGAUUAGAUACCCCUGUAGUC
This 460-nucleotide ribosomal RNA is filed under the name uncultured bacterium. RNAcentral describes it as "partial 16S ribosomal RNA". It matches the Rfam family "Bacterial small subunit ribosomal RNA", at positions 338 to 795 of the family's 1533-position model. The record is from RNAcentral.